RNAcentral lists this ribosomal RNA (301 nucleotides) under uncultured bacterium. Its description in RNAcentral is "partial 16S ribosomal RNA". It matches the Rfam family "Bacterial small subunit ribosomal RNA", at positions 509 to 807 of the family's 1533-position model. The record is from RNAcentral.
CAGUCGCCACGGUAAUACGGAGGGUGCAAGCGUUAAUCGGAAUUACUGGGCGUAAAGCGCACGCAGGCGGUUUGUUAAGUCAGAUGUGAAAUCCCCGAGCUUAACUUGGGAACUGCAAUUGAAACUGGUAAGCUAGAGUCUUGUAGAGGGGGGUAGAAUUCCAGGUGUAGCGGUGAAAUGCGUAGAGAUCUGGAGGAAUACCGGUGGCGAAGGCGGCCCCCUGGACAAAGACUGACGCUCAGGUGCGAAAGCGUGGGGAGCAAACAGGAUUAGAUACCCCGGUAGUCCCUGUCUCUUAUAC